AAAUAAGAAGCAAAUAAUUGCACUCAGUUUCGACCUGAAAAAUAGGUAAAUUAAUUUACCCUUAUUUA
RNAcentral lists this transfer RNA (68 nucleotides) under Menglacris maculata. RNAcentral's name for it is "tRNA-Arg". Lineage: Eukaryota; Metazoa; Arthropoda; Insecta; Orthoptera; Acrididae. The record is from RNAcentral.